GACGAACGCUGGCGGCGUGCUUAACACAUGCAAGUCGAACGGAAAGGCGCUGAGUUUGUGGGUUGCUCGAGUGGCGAACGGGGGAGUGAAACGUGAGUAAACUGUCCUUGACUGUGGGAUAAAAUCAGGGAACUGGGGCGAAUACCGGGUAGGAUCUCCUGCUGCAUGGUGGGGGUUGGAGAGAGUCGGCGGUUGGGGAUGGACUCGAGGCUUAUCCGCUUGUUGGUGGGGUAGUGGCUGACAAAGUUUUUGACGGGUAGGCCGCCUUGGAGCGUGACCGGCCACCUUGGGCCUGCGAUACGGCCCAGUCUCCUACGGGCGGCAGCAGUGGGGAAUAUUGCACAAUGGGCGGAAGCCUGAUGCAGCAACGCCGCGUGCGGGAUGACGUCCUUCGGGUUGUAAACCGAUUUCGCAUGUGCCGAAGCGUGAGUGACGGUAAUGAGUCAAGAAGCACCGGCUAACUACGUG
Molecule: ribosomal RNA, 468 nt
Filed under: uncultured bacterium
Lineage: Bacteria
Description: partial 16S ribosomal RNA
Rfam family: Bacterial small subunit ribosomal RNA
Source: RNAcentral